This 328-nucleotide ribosomal RNA is filed under the name uncultured eukaryote. Its description in RNAcentral is "partial 18S ribosomal RNA". It matches the Rfam family "Eukaryotic small subunit ribosomal RNA", at positions 1470 to 1796 of the family's 1831-position model. The record is from RNAcentral.
CCCUUAGAUGUCCUGGGCCGCACGCGCGUUACACUGAUGCAUUCAACGAGCUUAUAACCUUGGCCGAGAGGCCUGGGCAAUCUUGUUAACGUGCAUCGUGAUAGGGAUAGAUUAUUGAAAUUAUUAAUCUUGAACGAGGAAUUCCUAGUAAACGCAGAUUAUCAAUCUGCAUUGAUUACGUCCCUGCCCUUUGUACACACCGCCCGUCGCACCUACCGAUUGGAUGGUCCGGUGAAGCCUCGGGAUUGUGGUUCUUGCCGCUUUAUUGUGGCGUGACCGCGAGAACUUGUCUAAACCUUAUCAUCUAGAGGAAGGUGAAGUCGUAACA